UACACACCGCCCGUCACACCAUGGGAGUGGGGGAUACCAGAAGAGGCUAGUCUAACCUGUAAAGGAGGACGGUCUCCACGGUAUGUUUCAUGACUGGGGUG
RNAcentral lists this ribosomal RNA (101 nucleotides) under uncultured bacterium. RNAcentral describes it as "partial 16S ribosomal RNA". It matches the Rfam family "Bacterial small subunit ribosomal RNA", at positions 1384 to 1482 of the family's 1533-position model. The record is from RNAcentral.